CCUAGUUUUCAGCAGAAAGGAAGCUAAAUACAGAAACGCUAUUAACGUUGACCUAAAUACUAGUACAUCGGUGAAACUUGGCCCUUGUUCACUUCCCACAAAACUCCCAACUUUGACACUAUGCAAAAAGAAGAUUCUCCAUCACAUCAAACUUGCGGUACAUGCAUGGAGUACUAAAUGUAGAUGAAAUCAAAAACUAUUUGCACAGUUUUGUUGUACUUUGCGAGACGAAUCUUUU
This 238-nucleotide long non-coding RNA is filed under the name Setaria italica (foxtail millet). RNAcentral's name for it is "long non-coding RNA (SITA_LNC003521)". Lineage: Eukaryota; Viridiplantae; Streptophyta; Magnoliopsida; Poales; Poaceae. The record is from RNAcentral.